UACGGAAGAUCCAAGCGUUAUCCGGAAUUACUGGGCGUAAAGAGUUGCGUAGGUGGCAUUGUAAUCGGGGCAUGAAAGCGUGUGGCUCAACCAUACAGACAUGUUCUGAACUGCAAAGCUAGAGAGCGAGAGAGGUUACUAGAAUUCCUAGUGUAGGAGUGAAAUCCGUAGAUAUUAGGAGGAAUACCGAUGGCGUAGGCAGGUAACUGGCUCGUCUCUGACACUAAGGCACGAAAGCGUGGGUAGCAAACGGG
Molecule: ribosomal RNA, 254 nt
Filed under: uncultured bacterium
Lineage: Bacteria
Description: partial 16S ribosomal RNA
Rfam family: Bacterial small subunit ribosomal RNA
Source: RNAcentral